AAAAAGGGCUUCUGUCGUGAGUGGCACACAUAGAGCAACUCUAUUGCUCUUCGUGCGGAAUCGACAUCAAGAGAUUUCAGAAGCAUAAUUUUUUGGCAUUUGGGCAGCUGGUGAUUGUUGGUCCCGGCACCCUG
Small nuclear RNA from Aotus nancymaae (Ma's night monkey), 134 nucleotides. The record is from Ensembl. NCBI's taxonomy places the organism in Eukaryota, Metazoa, Chordata, Mammalia, Primates, Aotidae.